RNAcentral lists this ribosomal RNA (473 nucleotides) under Gryllotalpa unispina. RNAcentral describes it as "partial 16S ribosomal RNA". It matches the Rfam family "Bacterial large subunit ribosomal RNA", at positions 1803 to 2574 of the family's 2925-position model. Lineage: Eukaryota; Metazoa; Arthropoda; Insecta; Orthoptera; Gryllotalpidae. The record is from RNAcentral.
UUUGAUCAAAAACAUGUCUUAGUGAAUAUAAUACUAAGUCAGACCUGCCCGCUGAUGAGUUGAAGGGCUGCAGUAUUUUGACUGUGCAAAGGUAGCAUAAUAAUUAGUCUUUUAAAUGGAGGCUGGAAUGAAAGGUUAGACGAGAUAAAUACUGUCUCUUAAAUUAUAAUUGAAUUUUACCUUUAGAUAAGAAGGUCUAAAUAAAAAUAAGGGACGAUAAGACCCUAUAGAACUUUAUAUAAUAAUUAUUUUAAUAAAUAUAAUUUAUAUUUUGCUGGGGUGGCAAGGAAAGAAGGGAACUUUUCUUAUAUAAAACGGUAUUAGUGGGUUUAUGGCAUCAUAAUAUGGAAUAUAAGAAUAAGUUACCUAAGGGAUAACAGAUUAAUUUUUUUUUAGAGUUCCUAUCGGGAAAAAAGCUUAAUACCUCGAUGUUGGAUUAUGAUUACUUUUGGGUGCAUCAGCUUAAGGAGUAA